This 497-nucleotide ribosomal RNA is filed under the name uncultured bacterium. Its description in RNAcentral is "partial 16S ribosomal RNA". It matches the Rfam family "Bacterial small subunit ribosomal RNA", at positions 28 to 507 of the family's 1533-position model. The record is from RNAcentral.
GAUGAACGCUGGCGGCGUGCCUAAUACAUGCAAGUCGAGCGAACAGACGAGGAGCUUGCUCCUCUGACGUUAGCGGCGGACGGGUGAGUAACACGUGUAUAACCUACCUAUAAGACUGGGAUAACUUCGGGAAACCGGAGCUAAUACCGGAUAAUAUAUUGAACCGCAUGGUUCAAUAGUGAAAGACGGUUUUGCUGUCACUUAUAGAUGGAUCCGCGCCGCAUUAGCUAGUUGUUAAGGUAACGGCUUACCAAGGCAACGAUGCGUAGCCGACCGGAGAGGGGGAUAGGCCACACUGGAACUGAGACACGGUCCAGACUCCUACGGGAGGCAGCAGUAGGGAAUCUGCCGCAAUGGGCGAAAGCAUGACGGAGCAACGCCGCGUGAGUGAUGAGGGUCUUCGGAUCGUAAAAAUCUGUUAUUAGGGAAGAACAAAUGUGUAAGUAACUAUGCACGGCGUGACGGUAACUAAUCAGAAAGCAACGGCUAACUACGUG